UACGGAGGAUGCGAGCGUUAUCCGGAUUUACUGGGUGUAAAGGGAGCGUAGACGGCGAGGUAAGCCUGAAGUGGAAGCCCGCGGCCCAACCGCGGAACUGCUUUGGGAACUGUUUUGCUGGAGUAUGGGAGGGGUAAGCGGAAUUCCUGGUGUAGCGGUGAAAUGCGUAGAUAUCAGGAGGAACACCGGCGGCGAAGGCGGCUUACUGGACGGCAACUGACGUUGAGGCCCGAAAGCGUGGGGAGCGAACAGG
RNAcentral lists this ribosomal RNA (253 nucleotides) under uncultured Eubacteriales bacterium. RNAcentral's name for it is "uncultured Clostridiales bacterium partial 16S ribosomal RNA". It matches the Rfam family "Bacterial small subunit ribosomal RNA", at positions 524 to 776 of the family's 1533-position model. Lineage: Bacteria; Bacillati; Bacillota; Clostridia; Eubacteriales. The record is from RNAcentral.